AGCUAAUAGAUACCCCGGUAGUCCACGCCCUAAACGAUGUCAACUGGCUUUACGGAGUAUCGACCCUCUGUGAGGCGAAAGCUAAACGCGUUAAGUUGACCGCCUGGGUAGUACGACCGCAAGGUUAAAACUCAAAGGAAUAGACGGGGGCUUGCACAAGCGGUGGAGCGUGUGGCUUAAUUCGUCGCUAAGCGAGGAACCUUACCAGGGCUAGAAAUCCUACUGCACGUCUAGCGAAAGCUAGAAAGCCUUCGAGGGUGUAGGACAGGUGAUGCAUGGCUGUCGUCAGUUCGUGGUUUGAAUCGUUCCCUUCAGUGGGGUAACGAACGCAACCCUCGUUGCCAGUUACAAGUGUCUGGCGAGACUGCCCCCUCACGGGGGAGGAAGGUGAGGAUGACGCCAAGUCAGCAUGUCCCUCUGAUGUCCUGGGCUGCACACGCGCUACAAUCGCCUUUACAAAGGGACGCAAUGCGGUAACGCGGAGCAAAUCCUAAAAAGAGGCGCCAGUUCGGAUUGGGGUCUGCAACCCGACCCCAUGAAGCCGGAAUCGCUA
RNAcentral lists this ribosomal RNA (553 nucleotides) under uncultured bacterium. Its description in RNAcentral is "bacterial SSU rRNA". It matches the Rfam family "Bacterial small subunit ribosomal RNA", at positions 774 to 1337 of the family's 1533-position model. The record is from RNAcentral.